GUUUGAUCCUGGCUCAGAACGAACGCUGGCGGCAUGCCUAACACAUGCAAGUCGAACGAAGGCUUCGGCCUUAGUGGCGCACGGGUGCGUAACGCGUGGGAACCUGCCCCUCGGUUCGGAAUAACAGUUAGAAAUGACUGCUAAUACCGGAUGAUGACUUCGGUCCAAAGAUUUAUCGCCGAGGGAUGGGCCCGCGUAGGAUUAGCUAGUUGGUGGGGUAAAGGCCUACCAAGGCGACGAUCCUUAGCUGGUCUGAGAGGAUGAUCAGCCACACUGGGACUGAGACACGGCCCAGACUCCUACGGGAGGCAGCAGUGGGGAAUAUUGGACAAUGGGCGAAAGCCUGAUCCAGCAAUGCCGCGUGAGUGAUGAAGGCCUUAGGGUUGUAAAGCUCUUUUACCAGGGAUGAUAAUGACAGUACCUGGAGAAUAAGCUCCGGCUAACUCCGUG
RNAcentral lists this ribosomal RNA (450 nucleotides) under uncultured bacterium. RNAcentral's name for it is "bacterial SSU rRNA". It matches the Rfam family "Bacterial small subunit ribosomal RNA", at positions 11 to 507 of the family's 1533-position model. The record is from RNAcentral.